RNAcentral lists this ribosomal RNA (379 nucleotides) under uncultured bacterium. RNAcentral describes it as "bacterial SSU rRNA". It matches the Rfam family "Bacterial small subunit ribosomal RNA", at positions 28 to 409 of the family's 1533-position model. The record is from RNAcentral.
GACGAACGCUGGCGGCGUGCUUAACACAUGCAAGUCGAGCGGUAAGGCCCUUUCGGGGGUACACGAGCGGCGAACGGGUGAGUAACACGUGGGUGACCUGCCCUCAGCUCUGGGAUAAGCCUGGGAAACUGGGUCUAAUACUGGAUAUGACUCCACGGUGCAUGUCGUGGGGUGGAAAGCCUUGUGCGGCUGAGGAUGGGCCCGCGGCCUAUCAGCUUGUUGGUGGGGUGAGGCCUACCAAGGCGACGACGGGUAGCCGGCCUGAGAGGGCGACCGGCCACACUGGGACUGAGACACGGCCCAGACUCCUACGGGAGGCAGCAGUGGGGAAUAUUGGACAAUGGGCGCAAGCCUGAUCCAGCGAUGCCGCGUGUGUGAA